UACGUAGGGUGCGAGCGUUAAUCGGAAUUACUGGGCGUAAAGUGUGCGCAGGCGGCAGAGCAAGUCGAGUGUGAAAGCCCCGGGCUUAACUUGGGAAUUGCGCUCGAAACUACUUUGCUGGAGUGUGGCAGAGGAAGGUGGAAUUCCACGUGUAGCGGUGAAAUGCGUAGAGAUGUGGAGGAACACCAAUGGCGAAGGCGGCCUUCUGGGCCAACACUGACGCUCAUGCACGAAAGCGUGGGGAGCAAACAGG
Molecule: ribosomal RNA, 253 nt
Filed under: uncultured bacterium
Lineage: Bacteria
Description: partial 16S ribosomal RNA
Rfam family: Bacterial small subunit ribosomal RNA
Source: RNAcentral